GUCCUCCUUAAAGGGGCCGCGUGCUGACCCGAGCGCUGCCUGAGCAGAGGGGCUCCUAGGAGGUGGUCCUAUGGCCCGCGCCUGACCCACGGAAGUGGAAGGCGGUGUCCCGGGACAUUUAAUUAACUCUCACACAGACCGCGUGGGCCCCCACCCAAGAAAUCAAAGAAGAGGUCAUUUGAAUGGACAGAAGGUGGCCGUGGACAAGCCAGGAAGAGAGCGCUUUCACCAGAAACCAGACCCUGUGGGAACUUGAUCUCAGACUGUAGGUGUCCAGAACUGCAAGAAAUAAAUUUCUGUUGUUUAAGACA
Leptonychotes weddellii (Weddell seal) is the source of this 311-nucleotide non-coding RNA. The record is from RefSeq and is a predicted model, not a curated record. Lineage: Eukaryota; Metazoa; Chordata; Mammalia; Carnivora; Phocidae.